This 746-nucleotide transfer RNA is filed under the name Bradyrhizobium sp. SEMIA 6077. Its description in RNAcentral is "partial contains 16S-23S ribosomal RNA intergenic spacer and 23S ribosomal RNA". The stretch from base 150 to 223 matches the Rfam family "tRNA". Lineage: Bacteria; Pseudomonadati; Pseudomonadota; Alphaproteobacteria; Hyphomicrobiales; Nitrobacteraceae. The record is from RNAcentral.
CGUUUUAGAAACAUCAGUGGCCAACAGAUCGCCAGAUCGUUGAGCUGCAUUGGCGGGAUUUCGCCGUCUUCGUUUCUCUUUCUUCGCGGACGAACACGCGCUGGGCCUGCAACGGCAGGAUCCAGGGUCCUUAACGGGAUGUGCGUUAGGGGCUUGUAGCUCAGUUGGUUAGAGCGCGCGCUUGAUAAGCGUGAGGUCGGAAGUUCAAGUCUUCCCAGGCCCACCACUUUCAUCGAGUGUGCAUUCGUCUUCUGGUUACGGGGCCAUAGCUCAGCUGGGAGAGCGCGUGCUUUGCAAGCAUGAGGUCGUCGGUUCGAUCCCGUCUGGCUCCACCAGAUGGUUUGAUCACCGAGAUCUUGUACCGUCGUCCGCGAAACAUCACUUCGCAUCCUGCUAGUCUGGAUAGACAGCAAGAUGCGUGUUUUCUGACAUCGUAAAGAGGAGAUCGAUCCGAGUUGGGUCGUGUAGCAGAUUGCUGCGCGAGCCUUCAUUAUCUCCGGAUCAUUUUCGGCGCUCGCGUCCGACCGCAAGGUUGGCUGCGAGUUGUAAAAUGAUCCUUUUAGCGAAGCUUGACCGCCUCGCUAUCGGAACGAUCUUACGAAGCAAGCUGGUCUUUCUAGUCAAUGUCCGGCUGUACGUAGCGUUCAUCGAGGGCGCGCGCCGCAAGGCAAUCGUACAGACAACAUUCUGCCGAGUGUGUGGACAUUGAUAAUGAGAGCAAUCAAGUGCCUUAAGGGUGUUCGGUG